Melanotaenia boesemani (Boeseman's rainbowfish) is the source of this 1103-nucleotide long non-coding RNA. RefSeq lists it as uncharacterized. The record is from RefSeq and is a predicted model, not a curated record. The transcript is spliced from 4 exons. NCBI's taxonomy places the organism in Eukaryota, Metazoa, Chordata, Actinopteri, Atheriniformes, Melanotaeniidae.
CUAUUAUGCCGUGCAAUCCUUCAACACAAACAGGGAACAAUACCACCAGAAGACAGAGAAAAGAGUUACGGUCAUAGAUGUGAGAACUGCUAACCCACCCAGCCACAAUGGAGUUCAUUGAAACACAUGCAGCACUAUGUGGGAGCAUCAUGGUUUAAUGCAACCAAUUUCUCUGCUCUGGUGAUUUCAAAGAGGGAAAGCCAUUAAAGGAAUGGCAAUAUCAAAGAGUAUCCUGACCAUCUUUGCCCUUCUUGUGGCAUUACUUAUUUUGGAAACAAAGAAGAUCAACUAUUUUUCUGGUUCAGUUUUACCGGAACACCAUGAAGAACAUUUCCUACCCCACAAGCGGGAAAAAAGGAGUGGUAAUUCUAAUAAAUUCAAAUGACAUUGACUCAGCAGUUGAAGAUUUAGAAAAUGAGAGUUAAAUCUGUUUCAAAUCUGUGGGUGUAUUGACUUUUUUACCGCAAGUAAACAAACUCAAGUUCCUGCAUGCUUCUUUGCUACAACAUGGAAAACCACAUAAUAAGAGCCAUUUUCACGGUGCUUUUGAUUAUAGUGUAGAAUCAGCAGCUUGACACUAGCAUACUUCACUUCUGUCAGCUGAGGAGGAGACAGAGGAAAGCAUACCGUCCUCGCGACAGGACAAGGGAACGAGCAUGCACAGAACAGAAUAAUUUAAAGUGGAAUGAACGUAUACAUCAGAGGUGUCCAAAGUUUGUCCUCAAGGACCACUGUCCUACAGGUCUUGGAUGUUUCCUGCUGCUGCACACCUGAGUCAGAUUGAUGAGUCAACAUGCAUGUGCAGAACUUGACAACAAGCUGUUGAAAAGAGCCAUUUAAUUUGAAUCAGGUGUGUUGGAUCAGAGAGACUCUAAAACCUGCAAGACUGUGGCUCUGAGGACCAGAGCUGGACACCCUUGGUACAUGAAUGUUCAUUUUCAUUCAGAAGUAGGUGUUUAUGAGUUCAUUUUUAAUCUUUUUAAAGAAGAUUUCAUUUUUGUUCUGAAUUAAAGAGGAAUUAAAACUCAAAUGUAAACUUGCCCAUUGUUAUGUUUUUGGCAUGCACGCAUGCAGGCAGAUAGAAAUUAAUGUUAAAAGAAUAU